Non-coding RNA from Phalacrocorax carbo (great cormorant), 70 nucleotides. The record is from Rfam. NCBI's taxonomy places the organism in Eukaryota, Metazoa, Chordata, Aves, Suliformes, Phalacrocoracidae.
ACUCUAAUAGUUUAAUAAAAAUAUUGGUCUUGUAAACCAAAGAAUGAAGACUGCACCUCUUCUUAGAGUU